This 278-nucleotide long non-coding RNA is filed under the name Manihot esculenta (cassava). RNAcentral describes it as "long non-coding RNA (MESC_LNC010822)". The record is from RNAcentral. Lineage: Eukaryota; Viridiplantae; Streptophyta; Magnoliopsida; Malpighiales; Euphorbiaceae.
ACCGAUCACCAUCCCAUCUCUACCGUCAACUCAGAAUACCUCGACAACAUGCAGUUUCGGUGACUCCCAUGAACAAAAAUGAUGUCGGAUUCCAAUGAGAGUGCGAGAAAAUCGUGAGGAGAGAGAAAAUGAAUUUCUAAACUUUAAAAUAUCAUAUCUUGCAAUCUGAACAUAUGAUCAAAGUGAUUUCAGUGGUUAUGGACUCCUAGUUAAGAGAGUUUUCAAAUGGGAUUAAUUUUGCAGGAUUUGGUUCUUAUUUUUAACACCGAUAAGGGGAG